CCUACGGGUGGCAGCAGUGAGGAAUAUUGGUCAAUGGCCGGAAGGCUGAACCAGCCAUGCCGCGUGAAGGUCAGUGCCCUAUGGGCGUUAAACUUCUUUUGUGCGGGAGCAAUAAUGGUCACGUGUGGCCAGACGAGAGUACCGUACGAAUAAGCAUCGGCUAACUCCGUGCCAGCAGCCGCGGUAAUACGGGGGAUGCAAGCGUUAUCCGGAUUUAUUGGGUUUAAAGGGGGGGUAGGCUGUGAGGUAAGUCAGCGGUGAAAUGCCUCCGCUCAACGGGGUGAAGUGCAAUUGAUACUGCCUGGCUGGAAUGCGGAUGCCGUGGGAGGAAUGUGUGGUGUAGCGGUGAAAUGCAUAGAUAUCACACAGAACACCGAUUGCGAAGGCAUCUCACGAAUCCGCGAUUGACGCUGAUGCACGAAAGCGUGGGUAUCAAACAGGAUUAGAUACCCUUGUAGUC
RNAcentral lists this ribosomal RNA (460 nucleotides) under uncultured bacterium. RNAcentral describes it as "partial 16S ribosomal RNA". It matches the Rfam family "Bacterial small subunit ribosomal RNA", at positions 338 to 795 of the family's 1533-position model. The record is from RNAcentral.